UACGUAGGGUGCGAGCGUUGUCCGGAAUUACUGGGCGUAAAGAGCUCGUAGGUGGUUUAUCGCGUUGUCCGUGAAAACUCACAACUCAAUUGUGGGCGUGCGGGCGAUACGGGCAGACUGGAGUACUGCAGGGGAGACUGGAAUUCCUGGUGUAGCGGUGGAAUGCGCAGAUAUCAGGAGGAACACCGGUGGCGAAGGCGGGUCUCUGGGCAGUAACUGACGCUGAGGAGCGAAAGCGUGGGGAGCGAACAGG
RNAcentral lists this ribosomal RNA (253 nucleotides) under uncultured bacterium. Its description in RNAcentral is "partial 16S ribosomal RNA". It matches the Rfam family "Bacterial small subunit ribosomal RNA", at positions 524 to 776 of the family's 1533-position model. The record is from RNAcentral.